AUGGCAACAUUAGAUGUUUAUGAGUCUCUGGCUGUCAAGGCGGGACAAAUAGUAUCUGCUGAAAUCUGGGUAGAGAAUUACCAAAAGGAGAAGCCUAAUGAUGUUAAUGUUGUACAAGUUGGAUGGAACAUUCAACCUUCUUACUAUGGUGACAACAAAACACAUUUCUUGAUAGGAUGGACGGCCAAUGGAAACAAGACGAAGGGAUGUUUCGAUUUGAAAUGUGAUGGAUUUGUACUAGUUAAAAAUCCUCCAAUCACUCCAGGAGGUACUCUUGAGGGGAAAGCUAAGAUAUCUGUCAAGAUAUUCAAGAGUAACAAGAAUGGAGAUUGGUGGUUACACUUUGCCCAUGUUGGUGAAAAGUUUGCUCCGGUGGGGUUUUGGCCACGCAGUCUUUUCCAAAGCUUGUCCGAUCAUGCAAAUUAUGUAACUUGGGGCGGCUACACUAGCUCUCUUGUGAGGACUCCUAGCCCUCCCAUGGGCAAUGGACGCUGGCCGGGAGGAGAUUCUGCUUCAUUUCAAAAUGUGCAAUAUGUCAACAAUGAUGGGCAUGGUUAUCUUCGAAUGCCUAACCUUCGUUCUAGGGUAACCGAUACGGCAUGUUAUCGAGUUAGUGAAUUCAUGACUGGCAAGUUCAGCUAUGGAGGACCCGGUGGAUGUGUUAAUUAG
This 669-nucleotide ribosomal RNA is filed under the name Triticum aestivum (bread wheat). RNAcentral's name for it is "partial small subunit ribosomal RNA". Lineage: Eukaryota; Viridiplantae; Streptophyta; Magnoliopsida; Poales; Poaceae. The record is from RNAcentral.